Molecule: ribosomal RNA, 292 nt
Filed under: uncultured bacterium
Lineage: Bacteria
Also listed under: 1 other name
Description: partial 16S ribosomal RNA
Source: RNAcentral
GGACUACUAGGGUUUCUAAUCCCGUUUGCUCCCCUGGCUUUCGCACCUCAGCGUCAGUAAUCAACCAGUGCUCCGCUUUCGCCGCCGACGUUCCUUCCGAUAUCAACGCAUUUCACCGCUCCACCGGAAAUUCCGAGCACCCCUUUGAUCCUCAAGCAAUGCAGUUUCGGGCGCAGUUCCUCGGUUGGGCCGAGGGAUUUCACACCCGACUUACAUCGCCGCCUACGUGCGCUUUAUGCCCAGUGAUUCCGAACAACGCUCGCCACCUUCGUCUUACCGCGGCGGCUGGCAC